ACGGAAGGCAGCAGUGGGGAAUAUUGGGCAAUGGGGGGAACCCUGACCCAGCAACGCCGCGUGGAGGAAGAAGGUCUUCGGAUCGUAAACUCCUGUCCUAAGGGAAGAGUAGAAGACUGUACCUUAGGAGGAAGCCCCGGCUAACUACGUGCCAGCAGCCGCGGUAAUACGUAGGGGGCAAGCGUUGUCCGGAAUGAUUGGGCGUAAAGGGCGCGUAGGCGGCCCGGUAAGUCUGGAGUGAAAGUCCUGCCUUCAAGGUGGGAAUUGCUUUGGAUACUGUCGGGCUUGAGUGCAGGAGAGGUUAGUGGAAUUCCCAGUGUAGCGGUGAAAUGCGUAGAUAUUAGGAGGAACACCAGUGGCGAAGGCGGCUUACUGGACGAUAACUGACGCUGAGGCUCGAAAGCGUGGGGAGCAAACAGGAUUAGAUACCCUGGUA
RNAcentral lists this ribosomal RNA (436 nucleotides) under uncultured bacterium. RNAcentral's name for it is "partial 16S ribosomal RNA". It matches the Rfam family "Bacterial small subunit ribosomal RNA", at positions 341 to 792 of the family's 1533-position model. The record is from RNAcentral.